This 466-nucleotide ribosomal RNA is filed under the name uncultured bacterium. RNAcentral describes it as "bacterial SSU rRNA". It matches the Rfam family "Bacterial small subunit ribosomal RNA", at positions 9 to 523 of the family's 1533-position model. The record is from RNAcentral.
GAGUUUGAUCAUGGCUCAGAGUGAACGCUGGCGGCAGGCUUAACACAUGCAAGUCGAGCGCCCCGCAAGGGGAGCGGCAGACGGGAGAGUAACACGUGGGAACGUACCUUUCAGUUCGGAACAACCCAGGGAAACUUGGGCUAAUACCGGAUACGCCCGUAAGGGGAAAGAUUUAUCGCUGAAAGAUCGGCCCGCGUCUGAUUAGCUAGUUGGUGGGGUAAUGGCCCACCAAGGCGACGAUCAGUAGCUGGUCUGAGAGGAUGAUCAGCCUCACUGGGACUGAGACACGGCCCAGACUCCUACGGGAGGCAGCAGUGGGGAAUAUUGGACAAUGGGCGCAAGCCUGAUCCAGCCAUGCCGCGUGGAUGAUGAAGGCCCUAGGGUUGUAAAGUCCUUUCGGCGGGGAAGAUAAUGACGGUACCCGCAGAAGAAGCCCCGGCUAACUUCGUGCCAGCAGCCGCGGUUA